Molecule: ribosomal RNA, 415 nt
Filed under: uncultured Bacillus sp.
Lineage: Bacteria; Bacillati; Bacillota; Bacilli; Caryophanales; Bacillaceae
Description: bacterial SSU rRNA
Rfam family: Bacterial small subunit ribosomal RNA
Source: RNAcentral
UGUGCCAGCAGCCGCGGUAAUACGUAGGUGGCAAGCGUUGUCCGGAAUUAUUGGGCGUAAAGCGCGCGCAGGCGGUCCUUUAAGUCUGAUGUGAAAGCCCACGGCUCAACCGUGGAGGGUCAUUGGAAACUGGGGGGCUUGAGUGCAGAAGAGGAGAGUGGAAUUCCACGUGUAGCGGUGAAAUGCGUAGAGAUGUGGAGGAACACCAGUGGCGAAGGCGACUCUCUGGUCUGUAACUGACGCUGAGGCGCGAAAGCGUGGGGAGCAAACAGGAUUAGAUACCCUGGUAGUCCACGCCGUAAACGAUGAGUGCUAAGUGUUAGAGGGUUUCCGCCCUUUAGUGCUGCAGCUAACGCAUUAAGCACUCCGCCUGGGGAGUACGGCCGCAAGGCUGAAACUCAAAGAAAUUGACGGG